UGCUGCUUUCACUGGCCCGGUGGGGGCCAGCAGGGUCAGGGCCCGCGGAAACCCUCAGCCUGGCGGGCCGGGAGGCCGCGGUGCUGCACUGGCUCGGCGCGCUCCCCGAGUGGCGCUCAGGCGGGGCGCGUUCAUUUCAUCUACAGACUGUCGGGAAGGCUUCCCGAACUCCUCCUCCCUGCCCGCCUUUGCGCAGGGCCGGACUCUUCGGAAACUGAAAUCACGGGCCGCCCGGCCCCCACCAGUCCUCGUGGGAUCCGGCCCGGGUUAACCUUCUAUGGGGAGGCCCAGGAGGGCCGGGCGGAGCGCCGGGGCGGGCGUGCGCUGACGUGGCGAGCGGCUCCCUCCACCCGCUCCUCCCGCGGGCACUGCCGAGGCCCAUGGGCGGGAAGCCGGGCGGCGGGCGGGACGUGGCCUCGGUCCCGGCCCUGCCCCGCCCCGCCGCCACUGAGACUCCCAGCGCCACCAACGUCGGAGUUGCAGUUUCUUUAGCUGUCAUAUGCAGACAAGUACUACCCACCUCGCCUUUGGAGUGAGCAGCAUAGGAAGGAAAUAUGGUUAUACUUUCCUUGCUAAGGAAAUCCAACCCUCCACAAGGCAGCUUUCUUCCCAUCCCCUUGACCUUUUAGGAAAAAGCCCUGUGCCCAUCCUGCUGUGAUUCAGGAGUCUCGCAGAAGACAUCAGAAUGCCUUUCUCUGAGUCACAGUCUGUAUCUUCUAGAAAAGGCUGUCCAUCUUCACCCCAAGCCCACUGGCUCCUGAGAUACGACAUCCAGACCCAGUGCAGCUGGACCUGGCCCAGGAAGAUCAUGCGGUUUCUGGGAAGCACUGGAGAAGGAAAAGGCUGAAGAAAGGAAGACCGGAAAAGAAAUACAAGUCCUUCCGCCUUGGCAAAGAUGAUAGUACCGUUCCCUUCAGUGUUCCGGUUCUGCUCUAUUGGAUAAGUUCCGGUUUGACUAUGACUACGUGAAAAUGUGGAACCAGACCUUCACCCCACAUUCCAGCUCCAGCUCUACCACAGAGGAAGUGCAAUAUCACCUUAGUUAUUCAACACAUUAUGCUCCUCGUGAUACAACCAGAGUUCACAUCAGCAAUCUUGGCAGCUCUCACCACGCUGCUGACUCACGACUCUCUCAUGUCCCAAUUUCCUGUCCAUUGUUCUUUCCUCUACUUGGCCUGAUUUCUAAAGGCCUCUCUUGGUUGCAUUAAGCGGGAUUCCUGAGGGAUUCCCUUGGCAGUUACCUUGGGGGAGCUCUUAGGUUUGGGGCUGAUCCAUGUCCUCUAAAUGUAGGACUUCAAAGCUCCCAAAGAUAGGCAGGCCCAGUGGGAAGCUGGGAAAUGCUCUCUGACCCCUCUGGGAGGGCUGGCAGUCAGAGGGCCUUUUGGAAAGAGUCAGACCUGAUCCAUAAGUCCCUGGAAAACACCCUGCCCAGGGAGCAAAUGCCACUGUGGCCUUGACUGAGGCUUCAGAAGAGUUUGGGAGCUGCAAUUCAUCCACACACGCAUUCAUUUUCAAGUAGUGGUUUGCAGUUCAGGCUUUGGAGCCACAUAAGCCUGGCUUCAAAGCCACUUUCCAGCUUUGUAGGAAGUCUCUACAUUUUUAAACCUCCAUUUUUUUUUCCUGUAAAACUGGGGUCUUCAUGGUACUUAACUUCAUCGUGAUGUUGAGAGAAUGAAAAGAAAAAGGAUAAAUAAAUGGCUUAGCCUCGUGCCUUGGCACA
This 1720-nucleotide long non-coding RNA is filed under the name Homo sapiens (human). RNAcentral's name for it is "HSALNT0292536". Lineage: Eukaryota; Metazoa; Chordata; Mammalia; Primates; Hominidae. The record is from RNAcentral.